RNAcentral lists this ribosomal RNA (502 nucleotides) under uncultured bacterium. RNAcentral describes it as "bacterial SSU rRNA". It matches the Rfam family "Bacterial small subunit ribosomal RNA", at positions 28 to 526 of the family's 1533-position model. The record is from RNAcentral.
GAUGAACGCUGGCGGCGUGCUUAACACAUGCAAGUCGAACGGAACUAUUCUAGAUUGAGGCUUCGGCCAAUUGAAGGUUUAGUUUAGUGGCGGACGGGUGAGUAACGCGUGAGCAACCUGCCUUUCAGAGGGGGACAACAGCUGGAAACGGCUGCUAAUACCGCAUAUUGUGUAGAGAUCGCAUGGUGUUUACAUGAAAGAUUUAUCGCUGAAAGAUGGGCUCGCGUCUGAUUAGCUAGUUGGUGAGGUAAUGGCUCACCAAGGCGACGAUCAGUAGCCGGACUGAGAGGUUGAACGGCCACAUUGGGACUGAGAUACGGCCCAGACUCCUACGGGAGGCAGCAGUGGGGAAUAUUGGGCAAUGGGCGCAAGCCUGACCCAGCAACGCCGCGUGAAGGAAGAAGGCUUUCGGGUUGUAAACUUCUUUGACCAGGGAAGAAACAAAUGACGGUACCUGGAAAACAAGCCACGGCUAACUACGUGCCAGCCGCCGCAGUAACAC